Molecule: long non-coding RNA, 1558 nt
Filed under: Olea europaea subsp. europaea
Lineage: Eukaryota; Viridiplantae; Streptophyta; Magnoliopsida; Lamiales; Oleaceae
Source: RNAcentral
UCUCCUUUAAACAUUUUUACCAAACAUCAAAUUCAUAUCGUUUAAUAUUCACACGAUAGACUCAUACAAUUAUAGCAAAAAAAGUGAGACAUUCUCAUAACACUAUAAAUAUCAUUUCAUAAUCAUGAUAUAGUUAUCAGCUGAUAUCUAGAUCAUCAUCUCAUCACAUUACAUGUAAUACACCAAAAAUGUACCCUAUGACUAAAAUCUGAAAUCUUUCCCUCGGGCCAAACACUUUCGCCAUGGACCUUUGGCUCCCUCAGUGAACGAAAGUGGAUCUUAAAGACCUCUAAUAAUCAAUUCUGGAACACGGUCAAGGUCCUUCUGUGAGCUAUAUGUACACGAUCAAGACCAAUAUCAGGUCAAGAACCCUCCGUAUAGGAUAGAACAUGGCCAAUGCCCCUCUGUGAACUAGAAGAAAUAUAUAAUCAAUGGUACUUUUUUGGCCGAUUUGUAUAUCACAUUUGUCUCACAUACUAAGUUAUAAAUGUAUCAUAAGUAAUUUUUGAAAUUUCACACCUGUCAUAAUAAAAGAGAUUUCUGUAAUAAUCAUAAAAUCGAACUCAUAAUUGCACACGCUUUACUAAUAUACUUGAUUUAUAUAUACUUUAAAAAUAUUUAAAUUUUUACACUCACCAAGUCAUGGUCGAUCAUGGUUUCAAUCUUCUCGUCACCACUUCAACUUCAAAUAUCAAGUAUAAUAUCACACACUCGCUCUAGUAAAUCAUAUCCCCUCAGAAAGGUGCUUUGAGUAUUUCCUACCAUUAGAAAUAUUAAUUUGCCAAUAGGAGCUUGAUAUAUUUUAUUUUCAAGCUCAUAAUCUCAAUUAAGGUCGCUCACAACAUAUACUCGUUUAUAUGAAUUAUUUUAACAACAAAAUCCCAACUAUUUAACACUUAAUUUGGUUCCAAUACUAAAAAUUCACGAAAACUGGAUGUUUGACAAAACUAGCACUAUAAUUCCAGAAUACUGAAAACUACCACCAAUGUCUGUAUAUUAAAAUCUGUCACCGAAAAUAUUGACAGAAAUAGCACUUUUCUUGGCAGAAUUUAACAAAUAGCACCAAUACUACAGUAGCUCAAAAAUUGCUUUACAAAGAAAGGAGAAUUCCCAUCUCAAAUCCUUAAUUUAAGUAUUUUUAGCAUCAUAUAAUUACAAGAAACUCAAAAUAUAUCUUUAUCUUACAAAUCCAUUUCAAAAUUCCACUUUUUUCAACUCCAAUUUUCAAAUAAACAUUUCCUUGCUAUAUUCUUGUUGAAAACCUCGAAUACACAUCAAUAAUACCUAAUUCUUGGUAACUUCAAAGUUUUAAAUAUAAAUACCAUAAACCCUAAAGGACAUUAUUUCACAUUCUUAUGUUUACCUCUCUAAAUUAAAGGAAAAAUUUAAGAAAUUGAGAACCUAACCUUGUAAAAUUGGAACCUAUAUCUUCCUUCUUUUUCUCUUCCAUUUCCUUCCUUCCUUCCUUCCUUUUCCUUUUUUCUUUCCUUUUUUUUUUUUUCUCUAUUCUCGGCUUCUCCCUACCUAUGUGUAUGUAUUUGUGUGAAAUGGAUUUAUA